RNAcentral lists this unclassified non-coding RNA (722 nucleotides) under Hevea brasiliensis (rubber tree). Lineage: Eukaryota; Viridiplantae; Streptophyta; Magnoliopsida; Malpighiales; Euphorbiaceae. The record is from RNAcentral.
GCAGCAACAGGAUCAAGAGUCCUUGUGAUAAUCUCUUCUGGAGUUACCAUAACACGUUUUAUCAGUGCAUCUUCCAAGCUCUUGGCAUCACACUUGAGCAGCUCUGCUGUCAUAUUAAGAUGAAAUCUAGAUUUGUCAUCCUUGAUAACAGAAGAGUCUAUCUCCACUCCCUUUGCAAAUUCAAUGUUUCCAAGAUGCAGAAUUGCAGCUACAACCCUAAAAAUAGCUUCCUGUGAUUCUUCACCGAUGCCAACUACAUCCAUUGCCCUUCUAGUUGCAAGAUAUUCCUCAGCAUCAUUUACUCCAUCCAGCUGAUAGCAGUUGGAUUGGUUCAAGUAAUGGAAAGACUUAGGGUAUUCCAACUUGUACUUCUCUCUUUCCUCAGGUGGAGCUGCACAAAGAAGGUAGAAACAAUGAUAGUUUCUUUCAGGAUCAGAAAUUUGGCAAACCCGAGACCUCUCAAGCAAAUAAGUUCGUAUAGCUGCCCCGGAAAUCCUCCCAUUCUUGUCAAAUUGGAUCUCAACAAAUUUACCAAAGCGACUUGAGUUGUUGUUCCUAACAGUUUUGGCAUUGCCAAAUGCUUCAAGAACUGGAUUGGAUUCUAGAACUUGCUGUUCAACAGUUCGCCCUUCCACCCCAGCCCGACCACCCAAGUGUGCAAGAUAUCGCAUGAGCAUCUUUGUUGUCUCAGUCUUACCAGCACCACUUUCUCCACUAACUAG